GACAGAGGGUGCAACCGUUGCUCGGAAUUACUGGGCGUAAAGCGCGUGUAGGUGGUCACCCCAGUCGGAUGUGAAAGCCCAGGGCUCAACCCUGGACGUGCAUACGAUACUAGGUGGCUGGAGUCUCGGAGAGGAUAGCGGAAUUCCCGGUGUAGAGGUGAAAUUCGUAGAUAUCGGGAGGAACACCAGUGGCGAAGGCGGCUAUCUGGACGAGUACUGACACUGAGACGCGAAAGCAUGGGGAGCAAACAGG
RNAcentral lists this ribosomal RNA (253 nucleotides) under uncultured bacterium. Its description in RNAcentral is "partial 16S ribosomal RNA". It matches the Rfam family "Bacterial small subunit ribosomal RNA", at positions 524 to 776 of the family's 1533-position model. The record is from RNAcentral.